UUGAACGCUGGCGGCAUGCCUUACACAUGCAAGUCGAACGGUAACGCGGGGCAACCUGGCGACGAGUGGCGAACGGGUGAGUAAUGCAUCGGAACGUGCCCAGUAGUGGGGGAUAGCCCGGCGAAAGCCGGAUUAAUACCGCAUACGACCCAAGGGUGAAAGCGGGGGAUCGCAAGACCUCGCGCUAUUGGAGCGGCCGAUGUCAGAUUAGGUAGUUGGUGGGGUAAAAGCCUACCAAGCCUGCGAUCUGUAGCUGGUCUGAGAGGACGACCAGCCACACUGGGACUGAGACACGGCCCAGACUCCUACGGGAGGCAGCAGUGGGGAAUUUUGGACAAUGGGCGAAAGCCUGAUCCAGCCAUGCCGCGUGCGGGAAGAAGGCCUUCGGGUUGUAAACCGCUUUUGUCAGGGAAGAAAUCUCUCGGGCUAAUACCCUGAGGGGAUGACGGUACCUGGAGAAUAAGCACCGGCUAACUACGU
RNAcentral lists this ribosomal RNA (480 nucleotides) under uncultured bacterium. Its description in RNAcentral is "bacterial SSU rRNA". It matches the Rfam family "Bacterial small subunit ribosomal RNA", at positions 29 to 506 of the family's 1533-position model. The record is from RNAcentral.